RNAcentral lists this ribosomal RNA (487 nucleotides) under uncultured bacterium. RNAcentral describes it as "bacterial SSU rRNA". It matches the Rfam family "Bacterial small subunit ribosomal RNA", at positions 501 to 987 of the family's 1533-position model. The record is from RNAcentral.
CUACGUGCCAGCAGCCGCGGUAAUACGUAGGGUGCGAGCGUUAAUCGGAAUUACUGGGCGUAAAGCGAGCGCAGACGGUUACUUAAGCAGGAUGUGAAAUCCCCGGGCUUAACCUGGGAACUGCGUUCUGAACUGGGUGACUAGAGUGUGUCAGAGGGAGGUAGAAUUCCACGUGUAGCAGUGAAAUGCGUAGAGAUGUGGAGGAAUACCGAUGGCGAAGGCAGCCUCCUGGGAUAACACUGACGUUCAUGCCCGAAAGCGUGGGUAGCAAACAGGAUUAGAUACCCUGGUAGUCCACGCCCUAAACGAUGUCGAUUAGCUGUUGGGCAGCAUGACUGCUUAGUAGCGAAGCUAACGCGUGAAAUCGACCGCCUGGGGAGUACGGUCGCAAGAUUAAAACUCAAAGGAAUUGACGGGGACCCGCACAAGCGGUGGAUGAUGUGGAUUAAUUCGAUGCAACGCGAAGAACCUUACCUGGUCUUGACAU